This 460-nucleotide ribosomal RNA is filed under the name uncultured bacterium. Its description in RNAcentral is "partial 16S ribosomal RNA". It matches the Rfam family "Bacterial small subunit ribosomal RNA", at positions 338 to 795 of the family's 1533-position model. The record is from RNAcentral.
CCUACGGGUGGCAGCAGUGAGGAAUAUUGGUCAAUGGACGAGAGUCUGAACCAGCCAAGUAGCGUGAAGGAUGACUGCCCUAUGGGUUGUAAACUUCUUUUAUAUGGGAAUAAAAUGUUCCACGUGUGGGAUUUUGUAUGUACCAUAUGCAUAAGGAUCGGCUAACUCCGUGCCAGCAGCCGCGGUAAUACGGAGGAUCCGAGCGUUAUCCGGAUUUAUUGGGUUUAAAGGGAGCGUAGGUGGAUUGUUAAGUCAGUUGUGAAAGUUUGCGGCUCAACCGUAAAAUUGCAGUUGAAACUGGCAGUCUUGAGUACAGUAGAGGUGAGCGGAAUUCGUGGUGUAGCGGUGAAAUGCUUAGAUAGCACGAAGAACUCCGAUUGCGAAGGCAGUUCACUGGACUGCAACUGACACUGAGGCUCGAAAGUGUGGGUAUCAAACAGGAUUAGAUACCCAGGUAGUC